This 430-nucleotide ribosomal RNA is filed under the name uncultured bacterium. RNAcentral's name for it is "bacterial SSU rRNA". It matches the Rfam family "Bacterial small subunit ribosomal RNA", at positions 355 to 776 of the family's 1533-position model. The record is from RNAcentral.
UGGGGAAUCUUGGGCAAUGGGCGAAAGCCUGACCCAGCAACGCCGCGUGAGGGAUGAAGGCCCUCGGGUCGUAAACCUCUGUCGGGAGGGAAGAAUGAGCCGCAGUCAAAUAAAUUGUGGUUUUGACGGUACCUCCAAAGGAAGUCCCGGCUAACUCCGUGCCAGCAGCCGCGGUAAUACGGAGGGGACAAGCGUUGUUCGGAAUUAUUGGGCGUAAAGCGGGUGUAGGCGGCCAGUUAAGUCGAGUGUGAAAUCCCAGGGCCUAACCCUGGAACUGCAUUCGAAACUGCCUGGCUAGAGUCCCGGAGAGGAUGGCGGAAUUCCCGGUGUAGGGGUGAAAUCCGUAGAUAUCGGGAGGAACACCAGUGGCGAAGGCGGCCAUCUGGACGGUGACUGACGCUCAGACCCGAAAGCGUGGGGAGCAAACAGG